RNAcentral lists this ribosomal RNA (527 nucleotides) under uncultured bacterium. RNAcentral's name for it is "bacterial SSU rRNA". It matches the Rfam family "Bacterial small subunit ribosomal RNA", at positions 984 to 1509 of the family's 1533-position model. The record is from RNAcentral.
ACAUCCAGAGAAUUUAGCAGAGAUGCUUUAGUGCCUUCGGGAACUCUGAGACAGGUGCUGCAUGGCUGUCGUCAGCUCGUGUUGUGAAAUGUUGGGUUAAGUCCCGNAACGAGCGCAACCCUUAUCCCUUUGUUGCCAGCACGUAAUGGUGGGAACUCAAAGGAGACUGCCGGUGAUAAACCGGAGGAAGGUGGGGAUGACGUCAAGUCAUCAUGGCCCCUACGAGUAGGGCUACACACGUGCUACAAUGGCGCAUACAAAGAGAAGCGACCUCGCGAGAGCAAGCGGACCUCAUAAAGUGCGUCGUAGUCCGGAUUGGAGUCUGCAACUCGACUCCAUGAAGUCGGAAUCGCUAGUAAUCGUAAAUCAGAAUGUUACGGUGAAUACGUUCCCGGGCCUUGUACACACCGCCCGUCACACCAUGGGAGUGGGUUGCAAAAGAAGUAGAUAGCUUAACCUUCGGGAGGGCGUUUACCACUUUGUGAUUCAUGACUGGGGUGAAGUCGUAACAAGGUAAGCGUAGUGCU